RNAcentral lists this transfer RNA (81 nucleotides) under Crucibulum laeve. It matches the Rfam family "tRNA". From Rfam's summary of the family: Transfer RNA (tRNA) molecules are approximately 80 nucleotides in length. Lineage: Eukaryota; Fungi; Basidiomycota; Agaricomycetes; Agaricales; Nidulariaceae. The record is from Rfam by way of RNAcentral.
GGGCACAUGGUGUAGUUGGUUAUCACGCUCGCUUAGCACCUAAUUUGCGAGAGGUGUUGGGUUCAAUUCCCAAUGUGUCCA